This 1300-nucleotide long non-coding RNA is filed under the name Sus scrofa (pig). RNAcentral's name for it is "lncRNA (ENSSSCG00060025846.1)". Lineage: Eukaryota; Metazoa; Chordata; Mammalia; Artiodactyla; Suidae. The record is from RNAcentral.
CACACAGCAGAGGGCCUAACUGCUUGGCGAAUGUUAGCCGCUCUCAGCCUAGAGUGUCUCUCAAGAGCAAUGGGACUUGCAUUUUAAGACAACGUCCCCACGAAUCAUGAUCAGGACCAAAUCCUGACCCCACAGCCCAGAGGCAGGUCUUUCCAUGCCACCCCGCUCACCGCCCUGUGGCUCCAGCUACUUUUGAUUGAAAAACUGAGAACUGUAAAAAUGAAAAGCCCCAAGCAAAGACCGGCCUGUCCCUGACCACAGGGGCUGACCCAAACCCCAGGAAUCCCUGGGCUCAGAUCUGCUCUUUCUGCCCUGGCAGCAUAGCCCUGAGAUCAGGAUGCUCAAGUUCAAGGUACUGACGUUGAGGCUGCCAUGCCUCCACCCACUGAGCACCGAGCCUUUGCUUACUCAUAAUGAGACCUUCGGAAGAGCUACUUCCUAAUCUCCUGGAAAAUCCUACGGUCUGCUUAGCAGAGGAAUCUUCAGUGGCGUCUUGCCCGAUAAUCAAUGAGGCUCGACCCCAGCAAAUACCAGUCAGGAUUCGGCAGGUAAAAGGCAAUCCUGCGAAGCAUAAGCCAAAGAAAUUAUCUGGGGAGUAUGCGGGAAACAAAUGUCUCAGUUCAGAGUCUGGCGAUCGGGUGGUGGCAGAGCAGAGCUGUUAGCCCUUUGGCCGGGGGCUGAAUGUGAGGGCCCAGCCCACCCACAGAGAGCCCCCUUGGUCAUUUCAGACCGCUCAUCUGAGUAGCUGCUUGGUGCAGGGAACAGAAAAAAGAAACCCGAGACAUAGCUCUUGGGCUCUGGGAUCGUAGACUACGAAACAAAAUGUUCCAGCCCACAGCGCUGUCUACCUUCAGGAGAGAUGCCACUAGCUGUGGAAAAGGCACCGAGGUGGGACAGGUCUGGGCUCUGAAGGCUCAUCGGGCUUGGAUCUUGGGGUGAGCAUGGGUGGUGAGCUACGGGGAACAGCACCCGCCUUCAUGCCAUCAGCAGCCUGGAUUUCCUACCAUGGUCAGAAUCACGAGAGCAUAAGGCGGCAGUUUCUGCAGGACUGGGCUCCAUGGAUGAAGCAGCUCCAGGAACCGAGUGUGCGGGCUCUUGCUUGGAAUGUCACUGUUGUCGUCAUCACAAAACAUCUAUCAAUGUGUUUAUCAUCGUUGGCUGCAAGACGCUAGGCUGUGCGAAUCAGGACGGGCUCAGUUCUCUGAGACGAUGUAAUUGGCAUUGCAGAGGUAGAGAGCUGACGUGGCCUGCGCCCAAGUCGCCCGGGGUCUUUAGUAACCCAACGAGCACAGGUUCUGGC